AGCAGAGGCUUGCUGAGGAGCGCUGGCAGGAAUCUGCAGGGACAGAAAAGAGUGGGGAAGGACCAGAGGAGAGAAAAUGGAAGUUUUUCUGGCAGCCACACUAAAAGCACCAGUUAUCACACAGCACUGAUUAGAGCUCCAGCCCUGCAGGACCGGUGGAGAAGAGAGGAAACUCCCAUCUGCUUAUUGAGACACAAGAUGAACAUAUGCCAAAAACCAGAACACUAUGAAAUAAUAACAAGAAAGAG
Molecule: long non-coding RNA, 248 nt
Organism: Rhea pennata
Lineage: Eukaryota; Metazoa; Chordata; Aves; Rheiformes; Rheidae
Exons: 3
Source: RefSeq, a predicted model, not a curated record